Molecule: ribosomal RNA, 497 nt
Filed under: Anaplasma phagocytophilum
Lineage: Bacteria; Pseudomonadati; Pseudomonadota; Alphaproteobacteria; Rickettsiales; Anaplasmataceae
Description: bacterial SSU rRNA
Rfam family: Bacterial small subunit ribosomal RNA
Source: RNAcentral
AUAAAGARUAGUUAGUGGCAGACGGGUGAGUAAUGCAUAGGAAUCUACCUAGUAGUAUGGGAUAGCCACUAGAAAUGGUGGGUAAUACUGUAUAAUCCCUGCGGGGGAAAGAUUUAUCGCUAUUAGAUGAGCCUAUGUUAGAUUAGCUAGUUGGUAGGGUAAAGGCCUACCAAGGCGAUGAUCUAUAGCUGGUCUGAGAGGAUGAUCAGCCACACUGGAACUGAGAUACGGUCCAGACUCCUACGGGAGGCAGCAGUGGGGAAUAUUGGACAAUGGGCGCAAGCCUGAUCCAGCUAUGCCGCGUGAGUGAGGAAGGCCUUAGGGUUGUAAAACUCUUUCAGUAGGGAAGAUAAUGACGGUACCUACAGAAGAAGUCCCGGCAAACUCCGUGCCAGCAGCCGCGGUAAUACGGAGGGGGCAAGCGUUGUUCGGAAUUAUUGGGCGUAAAGGGCAUGUAGGCGGUUCGGUAAGUUAAAGGUGAAAUGCCAGGGCUUAAC